AACUUUUUCUGUAGGGCUUUUUGCUUCUGCUCACUCACUCUUUUCUCAUCCAGAGAAGACAGAAGAGUCUGACCUCCUUUUAUGCAGUUUCCAGGGCAGAAGAGAGGACUGGAAAGUUCUGAUUUGUGGCAUUAAUAUAAAGAACACAGAGUGCAAAUAUAGCCAGACCAUAACCUGAUUUCCUUCCCAUCCUGCUUUGGGACUGCAAGCAAGUCAGACACCCAAGCAUUUGUAGCAAAAAAUUGAAAUUAAGGAGUGGUAGGAGAUGUUGCAGAGAGGCAUUUUGAUUUGGUUAUUAUCCUUGCUUGAAAGUAGAAAGGCAUCAGAGGAAAAUAAAAGAUAGGAAAAAGAGAAGGGAAUGAGCCAGCGAGAAAGAAAAGUGGGGCUGGAAAGAAUGUGGCUGCUCUGCCAGGUCAAAAGGAGAGUAUGACCCAAGCAGCCACAGCUGAAAAGGAAGGAAAGAAGGAGGAGGAAGGAUGUGGCCUAUUUUGAAAGCAGUUUGUUUCAUUUUUAAUUAAUAAGGCAUUUUGCCUUUCCCCAGAAAUCCUUAGCCUGUUAACAGUUAAUUGCCUCCUCUCUCCUCCUGCCUGCCAGGAGCAAACACCUUGAAAGGAAACAAUGCCAUUCACAAAUUAUUUUGAGGAAAUGUUUGUUUUUUGCUAGAGUGGUAGUCUAAUCCUGCUAAAUCUGUUUAUAAAACAGCUUACAGGCACAAACAAUGACAUAUCCUACAGGAACAAUAAACUUUACAUAAACUCCAGUGUUGAUUGCACCAUUCAUGAAAGCAAGAGGAACUAAUUUUUACCCUUUGGUUCCUUUCUGCCACAGCAAGCUGGUAUUUAUUUCCCAUCAUAAUUUAGGGUAUUCCACAGCAGCAAUCUGGCCAUUCAAGAAAUGUUGUGCUGCCCAGUUAAAGAACACGCAUAACACCAAAGAUCUCUGGCAUGGAAAGCCACCACAUAAGUGAUUUUCCAAGCUAAUAAAAGCCCUAAACCCCCCCAGCCUCGAGCCCAGCUGCACCCUGCUGUUAACCUGCCCUUUCCAUUUGGAAACCUUCCCGUGCUUUUCCACCCUGCCGGCAGAUUUUAAUACAACGUGUCAACUCUGCUCCUUUCUCUGCUGCUUAAACAUUGACCUUUCUGCUUCAGCGGUGCCAGAUUGUCCUUGAAAAGUUAAUUGAGGGCUGUCAGCAGCCUUGACCACCCCCGAGCACCACAGAGACAAAGGCCGGGGCACCAGGUUCCUGUGUGGUGUCCACAGUCCUCAUCUCCAGGGUGAGGAUGAAAGGGCUCGUUUUCACUGAUCCUCGUUUGACACUCCUGAGUGUUUAAAUAAUCAGAAGAAAAAACUACCAGAGCACUAGCAACGGAGCAGAAGGGAUGGAACCUUCCCCCUCUGAGAUUGCUGAGAAACUGCACCACAUUUGGCACAGGCUGCGAGGAACAUCAGCUGGGCUUUUUUUAAGAACAUCUCACAAGAACACAAGGGGAGGCUGUUUGGAGCCAAGUCCCCGAAGAUUCCAAGCCCAGCGGGCAGGACCAGCCGCUCCCCCAGCGCUACUCACGUGGUG
Molecule: long non-coding RNA, 1570 nt
Organism: Myiozetetes cayanensis
Lineage: Eukaryota; Metazoa; Chordata; Aves; Passeriformes; Tyrannidae
Exons: 3
Source: RefSeq, a predicted model, not a curated record